AAUCAACGCUGGCGGCGUGCCUAACACAUGCAAGUCGAACGAGAAAGUGGAGCAAUCCAUGAGUAAAGUGGCGACCGGGUGAGUAACACGUGACUAACCUACCCUUGAAUGGGGAAUAACCUUCCGAAAGGAGGGCUAAUACCGCAUAAAGUCCUAAGGAUGAAACGCCUAAGGACCAAAGGAGCAAUUCGUUUAAGGAGGGGUCGCGGUUGAUUAGCUAGUUGGUGGGGUAAGUGGCCCACCAAGGCGANGAUCAAUAGCCGGCCUGAGAGGGCGCACGGCCACACUGGAACUGAAACACGGUCCAGACUCCUACGGGAGGCAGCAGUGGGGAAUUUUGCGCAAUGGGGGAAACCCGUGACGCAGCAACGCCGCGUG
This 378-nucleotide ribosomal RNA is filed under the name uncultured bacterium. Its description in RNAcentral is "bacterial SSU rRNA". It matches the Rfam family "Bacterial small subunit ribosomal RNA", at positions 32 to 403 of the family's 1533-position model. The record is from RNAcentral.